UCUAAGUGCCUGUCAUUUUCUCAUUUUUGUAUACAUGCCUUUUCUGGCAUUUGUAAUAUUGCUUUUCUUGAUGUACUCAUGCUUUUCCCUUGUUUGAGCAUUUCAUUCUGCAUAAUCAUCUUCUUUUUUGCCACAUUACUGUUGCUUGUAUCAACUUGUAGUCUGUAGACUUGUAGUAAUGUAGCAAAUCAGGAAAGCUAGUUUUGUUGUCGUAUCAUAGCACAGUUGUUCUAUGGAAUACUCAAGCCAAUCAGGGCUGGGCACAUAUGAAUACUAGAGGCAGUUCUCUGCCCUAGCAGAGAAGUGGGAGUUUUAAAUCAGUUAGUAGAUAGCCAGCAGAAGAGUAACAUCUCUCUUUCAACAUGGAACAGCUUUUCAUUUUCACAUCAACUUCACACAGCUAACUCUGAAUUAUAUCAUAUCUCAACUGGUAAUACCAUGAACAGCUUUUCACUUGCACAUCAACUUGGCACAGCUAACUCUGAAUUAUAUUGGCUCUCGACUUACCACUAAAUUCUUAUUUCUAACAUAAGUGAUAACAGCUUUCCCUGACUCACACACACACGGGCUACACUCUUAUUACUUGUCAGCUCAUGUUGAUUAAAAAAUAUUUUGUCAUAAAAAAUGCUUUCUGAUAUUUUUCCUUCAACCAACUUUCACGCAAUAAAUGCACCCUUACUAAAUGGUAACCUUUCACUAAAUUGGUGACUUUCUACACUGGUAAUUUUUUACAAGUGUAAACCUUGAUAUAAAUGUAAACAUUGACAUAAGUGAGCCUUAAAACAAAUCUAAACAUCAACACUUUGUUAAUAUAUUUCAGUUGAAAUACUUUGCCUUUCAACCAAUUUUUAAAAUAAUGAAGAAUUUAGUUAAGUAAGUUUGUCAUUGUUAAGCUGAUGUUUAGAAGAUAAAUUAACAUGGGAUUUUGAUGGAAGAUUUUAAUUUAAAUCGAUUUAAAAGUGGAAGUUUGAAUCAUAGAACCUAGAGAAAGUUUCAGAUGGGUUGGUGUCAAAUGGGUUAACAUAUAAGUAAACUUUGAUACAAGAUUAAGCAUUGUCUCUGAUGUAAAUAACUGGCACUUGAUCUGAUCAAUGGAACAGCCUGCUCGUGAAAUUAACAUGAGCACUCCACAGACAUGUGUAUUCUUAACAUAGUUCUUAGGGUGAGUCAGCAUGAUGCAGAAUGUGACAAGGUUGGUCCUUUGAGUAACAGUUACAACUUAUUUUUGCCAGCUGAGUGGACUGAAGCAACAUGAAAUAAAGUGUCUUGCUCAAGAACACAAUGCACUGCUGGGAAUUGAACUCAUGAUCUUAAUUUUGUGAGCUGAAUACCAUAACUUCUGAGCCAUAUGCCCUUGAUCUAAAGCUUAGCACAGAUUUAAACCUUGAUACAAGUGUAAAUCUAAUUUUGAAAAUAAUUAUUAAAAAAUUAGAUUGUCUCAAUGGGUGGUGUUGACUUCUAUUGACUUUUAUUGACUUCUUCAAUAAAAACAUUUAAGAAGUUAAAUCUAUAAAUAUUUUAUUACAAGUGACAAAAUUCACUGGUUUAACCCUUUAGUAAUUAAACUGACCAUAUCAGGUCCAAAAUUUCUUCCUGUUUUAUGUUCAAACUGGUCAAAUCUGGCUUGUCAUACCUAUCCUACAAUUCUAAAAGUAAGCAAUCAUCACAGAACUCUUGAAGCAACAAGAUAAUGGAUGAUUAAAUCAAAACAAUGUGAAUAAAUUGGUAUUACAUUUGACAGCAUAAUCUGAGUGCUUGGGGGUUAAAAAAGUUAUUUCCAAGGUUUCUUAUAUACUUCUUACAAUCCAACAGCAUUCCUAUGUUCAGAUAAUUUCAUUCAAUUUUUUUUAUUGCAGUUAACUUGUAUUAUUAAGAUCAACUGCAAGAAACAAAAUAUUCCUAUACAAUAUUGAUUUCUAUGAAUGCUUCACUAUAACUUCUAUUACCUGUGUUUUAGAACUUCAUAACCAUCAACAUUUACAUAGUGCACAUGCUCAAUGACUGCUGACACCAUUUUCUGCAUUGAUCAAAAAGUGUUGGUUUCCCCUCUCUGUAAAACCUCAAUAACUAAAAACUUCAUAAGAAGUGUUUCCAGAUCAGUUCCACUGUGUGGAUAAUAUUUUAUAAUACUUUUACAGACUAUGAUGACUGAUAAGUUCACAUCAAGAAGUGACCAAAUCUUUCACCAGAUUUGUAACAAAGUUAUACAGGAAAUACAUUCACAACUGUUAAGGAGGAGGGGAACAGGAUGGUGAUGGGAGGAGAAGACAAUGGAGACGAAUAAGAAUGGAGGAGGGAUGAUAUUGAUGAUGAUUAAUCAAAAGUUGAUACUAAAUGUUUCUUACAGUAUUUUAAAAUCAAAUUCUUUUGAUAACCAUGACAUGGUAAUGAACUCUCAUCGAUUUAUUCUCUGCUGAAAAUUCUUUGUUGCCUGACCAUGUAUAAAAAUAAACAAAGUUUGUACUUAGGACAGUGUCAUUAUGCUGAAGUAUUCAAAUAUUGAAUGAAUACAUUGCUUACAUUGUAAUUUAUUUUCGGUAUUAUUUCAUUUAAAUCAUUUAUUUGCAAUUUUAAAGAGAAUCAAUUUUACCCCAAAGCUAACUUUGAUGAAUUUCCUUUUUUCUUCUAGAAUCUUUCAAAAUGUUUGAUUAGAAAUUUCUGCAUUUAUUUAUGCCCACAGCAUAAACAGAAAGUAGCAAUAAAAAUGCAUUUGUUUCAAUAUAAAAUAAUAAAUUUGAAAUUCUAAAACAUUGAAUAUGAACAUUUAUAAAUAGUGCAAAACACAACAAAACUUACUAAUUUUUAAUUAUUUCUUAAUUUGAAUGUUAUUCAACAGUCACUUUAAUUAUUCAAAAUAUAAUGUAAAUAAAUGCUAGCUGUUGAGAUGAAUCAGUGCUGAAAAUUUAUUAUUGAAUUCUGAGCUAGUAUCAAAGAAGAGAAAUCAAAAGCAUUCGCAGGCCCAGAAAAAUCUGCUGCUGCUGCCACUAUCUAUUCUUGAGUAAAAUCCCAUCUAUUAAAGGAAUAUUUGCAAAUUCUGUCUGAACAAGCAGAAUGGGUUAACUUCUAAUCUGAAUUACUACUAGUACCCACCCUGGUACUACAGGCUAGCCACUCUUUAAUUACAGCCAACUACCAAUAUACUACAAGCUGCCCCAAUUUUCCAUUUGUAGAAUUUCAUACACUGCAAUUAUCAUAACAGCCAGCCUAUUUUUUUACCAUUACUGGUUGCAUGCCACAAAGAACAAGUUGAGAGUUCAUGCUGACAUCAUACAGAACAACUUUAUAGAAGUCAUUGUAUAAAUCAUGCAAAUUGGAUUUAAAAGCUUUCAAAUUUAUUAUUUUAAAAAUAUUACAAAUUUGAAACUUUGAAAAGCAAGAACUAAUUCAAGGAUUAUAUUUCAUGAAAUAAAGGGACAAACAGGCAUUAAACCUCAAAAAAUA
This is a long non-coding RNA of Octopus bimaculoides (California two-spot octopus), 3441 nucleotides long. Lineage: Eukaryota; Metazoa; Mollusca; Cephalopoda; Octopoda; Octopodidae. The record is from RefSeq and is a predicted model, not a curated record.